This 246-nucleotide ribosomal RNA is filed under the name Francisella tularensis subsp. holarctica. RNAcentral describes it as "partial 23S ribosomal RNA". It matches the Rfam family "Bacterial large subunit ribosomal RNA", at positions 2024 to 2276 of the family's 2925-position model. Lineage: Bacteria; Pseudomonadati; Pseudomonadota; Gammaproteobacteria; Thiotrichales; Francisellaceae. The record is from RNAcentral.
ACCAGAGACUCAGUGAAAUUGAAAUCGCUGUGAAUAUGCAGUGUACCCUCGGUUAGACGGAAAGACCCCGUGAACCUUUACUAAAGCUUUGCACUGGACUUUGAAUAUUAAUGUGUAGGAUAGGUGGGAGACCAUGAAGCAGCAACGCCAGUAGUGGUGGAGUCGUCCUGGAAAUACCACCCUUGAAUAUAUGAAGUUCUAAAUCAGGAGAGAUUCGAGGACAGUGUAUUGUGGGUAGUUUGACGG